Molecule: long non-coding RNA, 206 nt
Organism: Amphimedon queenslandica
Lineage: Eukaryota; Metazoa; Porifera; Demospongiae; Haplosclerida; Niphatidae
Exons: 3
Source: RefSeq, a predicted model, not a curated record
AGGUUAUCAUACCUCAGUAUCAUGCCUGUAUGCUCUUUGUCCCUCACAACAUUGCUGACAACCAACAGGAGAUACAGAAAUUAUUAGGAGUUAGUUUUGGUCAUCCAGUAGUUGAGGUGGGUGGUCCCGGGGGCCACAGCCACCGCCACUCUGUCCAUUAUAAUGACAGCUACCUCCUGUUUGUAAAGUUUUCUGCAGCAGGAGAU